Passer domesticus (house sparrow) is the source of this 754-nucleotide long non-coding RNA. RefSeq lists it as uncharacterized. Lineage: Eukaryota; Metazoa; Chordata; Aves; Passeriformes; Passeridae. The record is from RefSeq and is a predicted model, not a curated record. The transcript is spliced from 4 exons.
GGAACAGUGAACAAAAGGGCAGGUCUUUGGAGAGAUGGACAAGUGGGGCAAAACCAACACAUGGGGUAAAGGAGCAAGCCCUUGAUCUAGUCCUCUUUUUAAUGCAAAUACUUCGCAGCACUGUGCUGACCAAUUCGAAGACAGCUUCCCCUUUUCUACAGCUUCCAUAUUUUGACCAUCUAUUAUCGCAUACUCAGAAGCUCUUUUCCCAGAGACUACUCUAGAGGAUCCAUCUGUGAACAAGACUCUCCCAUGAGACUGCUGCAGCUGCAAUCGCUUGCAGGCAAGUUGGCCACCCCCGGGCUACAGGAUCUAGUAAUUUGGACAGAAAUGCUACAGGUUUUCGUGAUCCUCCCCAUUCUUGGAUCUUCACGCUCCCUUCACUCACAACCCCACCCUGCCAACAGGCAGCAUAUGUUAGCUGUUCUAUAUCGGGAUUCUCCUGAGUUCGCAAAAACUGGUUCAGUUGGGAACACAUCCAUGGAUCAUGAGUUCCAUACCAUGGCCACCUUCCUUGUAAUUUCAGCUUUGGCCAAAUCUCUGUACAAUAAUAAAUCAUUCUAACUUGGUCAAGGGUUUUAGUGGCUUCUUAAGAAUCCCAAUGGUCUAAUAACUGUCCAAGUGGACUAUCUAAUGGAAUACUCUUUAUCUUCUUUUUUCCUUUGAAAGGGAUCCCUGUUUUACUAACACACUGACCCAUCCUUAAAUAAAUAAACUAAGAUCCCAAAUGUGCCCCUACCCAAACGGAAAUUUA